UUUUUAAACUAUUUAAAU
RNAcentral lists this transfer RNA (18 nucleotides) under Drosophila melanogaster (fruit fly). RNAcentral's name for it is "partial tRNA-His". The record is from RNAcentral. Lineage: Eukaryota; Metazoa; Arthropoda; Insecta; Diptera; Drosophilidae.